Molecule: ribosomal RNA, 613 nt
Filed under: Enterocytozoon bieneusi
Lineage: Eukaryota; Fungi; Microsporidia; Enterocytozoonidae
Description: SSU rRNA
Rfam family: Microsporidia small subunit ribosomal RNA
Source: RNAcentral
UUGAAACUUGUCCACUCCUUACGGGGGAGACAGUCAUGAGACGUGAGUAUAAGACCUGAGUGUAAAGACCUUAGGGUGAAGCAAUUGGAGGGCAAGCUUUGGUGCCAGCAGCCGCGGUAACUCCAACUCCAAGAGUGUCUAUGGUGGAUGCUGCAGUUAAAGGGUCCGUAGUCGUGAAUGCAAUUAAAUGUCGUUGUUCAAUAGCGAUGAGUUUGCUAAUGUUUGCGGAACGGAUAGGGAGUGUAGUAUAGACUGGCGAAGAAUGAAAUCUCAAGACCCAGUUUGGACUAACGGAGGCGAAGGCGACACUCUUAGACGUAUCUUAGGAUCAAGGACGAAGGCAGGAGUAUCGAAAGUGAUUAGACACCGCUGUAGUUCCUGCAGUAAACUAUGCCGACAGCCUGUGUGUGAGAAUACGUGGGCGGGAGAAAUCUUAGUGUUCGGGCUCUGGGGAUAGUACGCUCGCAAGGGUGAAACUUAAAGCGAAAUUGACGGAAGGACACUACCAGGAGUGGAUUGUGCUGCUUAAUUUAACUCAACGCGGGAAAACUUACCAGGGUCAAGUCAUUCGUUGAUCGAAUACGUGAGAAUGGCAGGAGUGGUGCAUGGAUCU